This 386-nucleotide ribosomal RNA is filed under the name uncultured bacterium. RNAcentral describes it as "bacterial SSU rRNA". It matches the Rfam family "Bacterial small subunit ribosomal RNA", at positions 28 to 416 of the family's 1533-position model. The record is from RNAcentral.
GACGAACGCUGGCGGCGUGCUUAACACAUGCAAGUCAAGGGGGCCCGCAAGGGCAACCGGCGAACGGGUGCGUAACACGUGAGCAACCUGCCUAGGUGUGGGGGAUAGCCGGCCCAACGGCCGGGUAAUACCGCAUAGGUUCUUCUGGGGGAGGUCCUUGGGAGAGCAAACCUGUCGCAAGACGGGGCAUUUAGAGGGGCUCGCGGCCUAUCAGCUAGUUGGUGAGGUAAUGGCUCACCAAGGCUUCGACGGGUAGCCGGCCUGAGAGGGCGACCGGCCACACUGGGACUGAGAUACGGCCCAGACUCCUACGGGAGGCAGCAGUGGGGAAUAUUGCGCAAUGGUCUAACGACUGACGCAGCGACGCCGCGUGUGGGAGGACGCCU